This 372-nucleotide ribosomal RNA is filed under the name uncultured bacterium. Its description in RNAcentral is "bacterial SSU rRNA". It matches the Rfam family "Bacterial small subunit ribosomal RNA", at positions 527 to 898 of the family's 1533-position model. The record is from RNAcentral.
GAACCGUGCGAACGUUGUUCGGAAUCACUGGGCUUAAAGGGCGCGUAGGCGGCCGCCCGAGUCAGGGGUGAAAGCCCCCAGCUCAACUGGGGAAGUGCCCCCGAUACUGGGCGGCUCGAGGGGGAUAGGGGCGGACGGAACUUCCGGUGGAGCGGUGAAAUGCGUUGAUAUCGGAAGGAACGCCGGUGGCGAAAGCGGUCCGCUGGGUCCCCUCUGACGCUGAGGCGCGAAAGCCAGGGGAGCAAACGGGAUUAGAUACCCCGGUAGUCCUGGCCCUAAACGAUGGGUACUAGGCUGUGGGCUUGACAUGGGCUCACAGCCGAAGCGAAAGUGCUAAGUACCCCGCCUGGGGAGUAUGGUCGCAAGGCUGAA